This 354-nucleotide transfer-messenger RNA is filed under the name Acidimicrobiia. RNAcentral's name for it is "SHUZ01 sp016870395 Standard tmRNA". It matches the Rfam family "transfer-messenger RNA". Rfam says of the family: Bacterial tmRNA, also known as 10Sa RNA or SsrA, is named for its dual tRNA and mRNA-like properties. Its role is to liberate the mRNA from a stalled ribosome. To accomplish this part of the tmRNA is used as a reading frame that ends in a translation stop signal. Lineage: Bacteria; Bacillati; Actinomycetota. The record is from RNAcentral. RNAcentral also lists the same sequence under 1 other name.
GGGGGUGCGUGGCUUCGAUUCUGGGGAUCGAAGUGGGUGAAGCGAGCCGACGUCGCCGGAUCGUCGCGAAAGAGCCGGCACACUGAACACUUGCCGAGGACAACCUCGCACUCGCCGCCUAGGAAUAGGUAGCGCGUCUUACCCGGCCCAGCCGCUCGGCCGGAACCGGGACGUCAUAAAGAGCGGCUCACCGCCGGGACGGGCCCCGUGGCCCGGCGGGACAUCGCAGCGGGGCUGGGACCCACGCAGGCCGCCGGUGGGCGGCGCGGGUCCGAGACCAACCCAUCGGCUGCGCUCGGAGAAGCCCCACCAAGGACUCGGAAGACGGGGGUUCGACUCCCCCCACCUCCACCA